RNAcentral lists this long non-coding RNA (1037 nucleotides) under Equus caballus (horse). RNAcentral describes it as "lncRNA (ENSECAG00000050215.1)". Lineage: Eukaryota; Metazoa; Chordata; Mammalia; Perissodactyla; Equidae. The record is from RNAcentral.
UCACUAGCCGAGCUCUUUAUUGACAGCACUUACAUUCUUUGAAGGAAAAUGAUCUCACUCUUUCACGGGCAAUAGUAGCCGAAAGGAUUCCAGACUGAGACUAGAGUUCAGUUUCACCACCAUGUUGGGCUUCUGUUCCCUGGAGCACAGCACUGGGUCGAAGGCGGCUGAAUCUGGAAGAGAUUUUGACGUCACUCACGGGUUGUUGUGAGAAUUAGAUGAGAGAAUCCAUGUGAGGCCACCCAGCAAUGCCUGUGAAGAAAGGUAGGCUCUUUCACCACCUUCCCCUCCUCUUAGGAGGCCAUUUCCCUUGUUGAGAAAACACUUCAGAAAACCCAUCAUCUCCCUGGGCAAGUAGAGAGAUUCAUCCCGGCUGCCUGGCAUUUUCAGAAGCCUUGCAGCCAUUCUGAAGAUUCUGCGGGCAAUGGAUGAAACUAGAUUUCCAAUAAACUACUCCACACCAGGACAUCCCCCAGCCGGAGAGGCCGACUUCAGUCCAAAAUUGAGCUGAGUUUGCCAUCUAGAGGAUGUCCAUGGACAGGCAGGCACCAGCACCUACUUUGGCGCUGAAACAGAGAUCUUCACAACAACCCUAGGAAGCAGACAUUGUCAUCCCAAUCCUACUACUGAGGCACCUGGAGCUCAACAAAGUUAUGACUUGCCCAAGGGCACACCACUAAAAAAUGGAGGAGUAAGAACUUCAUCCCAUGUCAGGCUAACUCCAUCCUCCUAGGACCUUUUCCAUUGGGCCACAAAUUAUAUGAACUUUUAAUUUCAAGUUUCUGGUAACAUUGUGACUCACUGAAUUAUUCUUAACCUCCCACAUUCUGGGAUCUUUUUUCCCUAGACAUCAAGAAUCAGCUCUUAAGCAUUAUCACUGUAUCGCCCAGUACCUAGUAUAGUGCCUGGCUAGUCUGAAGCCCCAGUAAACCAAUGUCGAAUGAAUGAAGAAAUGUAUGUGUGUCCAAGUCAAUUGGGAAGAGAUAGAACAACUGUCUCCUACCUAUUAAGGCUUUAUUUAAACAGCAAGAAUAAAA